This 876-nucleotide ribosomal RNA is filed under the name Rhodococcus sp. enrichment culture clone PAH2. RNAcentral describes it as "bacterial SSU rRNA". It matches the Rfam family "Bacterial small subunit ribosomal RNA", at positions 206 to 1098 of the family's 1533-position model. Lineage: Bacteria; Bacillati; Actinomycetota; Actinomycetes; Mycobacteriales; Nocardiaceae. The record is from RNAcentral.
GGUUUUCCGGUGCAGGAUGGGCCCGCGGCCUAUCAGCUUGUUGGUGGGGUAACGGCCCACCAAGGCGACGACGGGUAGCCGGCCUGAGAGGGCGACCGGCCACACUGGGACUGAGACACGGCCCAGACUCCUACGGGAGGCAGCAGUGGGGAAUAUUGCACAAUGGGCGCAAGCCUGAUGCAGCGACGCCGCGUGAGGGAUGACGGCCUUCGGGUUGUAAACCUCUUUCAGUACCGACGAAGCGCAAGUGACGGUAGGUACAGAAGAAGCACCGGCCAACUACGUGCCAGCAGCCGCGGUAAUACGUAGGGUGCGAGCGUUGUCCGGAAUUACUGGGCGUAAAGAGCUCGUAGGCGGUUUGUCGCGUCGUCUGUGAAAACCCGCAGCUCAACUGCGGGCUUGCAGGCGAUACGGGCAGACUUGAGUACUGCAGGGGAGACUGGAAUUCCUGGUGUAGCGGUGAAAUGCGCAGAUAUCAGGAGGAACACCGGUGGCGAAGGCGGGUCUCUGGGCAGUAACUGACGCUGAGGAGCGAAAGCGUGGGUAGCGAACAGGAUUAGAUACCCUGGUAGUCCACGCCGUAAACGGUGGGCGCUAGGUGUGGGUUUCCUUCCACGGGAUCCGUGCCGUAGCUAACGCAUUAAGCGCCCCGCCUGGGGGAGUACGGCCGCAAGGCUAAAACUCAAAGGAAUUGACGGGGGCCCGCACAAGCGGCGGAGCAUGUGGAUUAAUUCGAUGCACGCGAAGACCCUUACUUGGGUUUUGACAUACACCGGACCGCCCCAGAGAUGGGGUUUCCCUUGUGGUCGGUGUCAGUGGGUGCAUGGCUGUCGUCAGCUUCCUGUCGUGAGAGCUGGGUUAAGUCCCGCAACAGCG